AUUUUAGUAUACUUGUACAAUUUCCGGAUGGCAUGUUUGUAAUAUAAAUUUGAAAAUUGAAAACAUUAAUUUAAGCAGAUUUGUUUGUCGAAAAAAUGCAAACUUCAACAAAACAAAAAUGCCCCAAAAGAGUAAAUCAGACGAAACUGGGUUUUUCUGGUAACUAACAUCCCCACAAAGUGGAUCAUCGCGCAUUCAAUGCGAUAUACAGCUCGUAAGAAUUAAAAAGUAAGAAACAGCAAACUCAGUUGUCGUAGUGGCCCGUAUUUUGAUAGCAUGAAAACACUGCAAACUACUUGAAGUAUUCUCAAGGCCAUGUCAAUAUUGACGAACAUUAUUACCGAACACAAAAUUCGAAAGAACUCAAUAAAAAGAGACGACAGAGUUAACGAACCGAAGAAGAAUGGUAAACACAUCAUAAUAAGAGAUAAAGGAACUGAGAUACUGACAAUGCAAUAAAAGUGAUAAAAAGCAAAUAAGGACAAUAAAUAUACCGCUAUGCAGCAAAGUAAAUUAUUUAGAAGACAAACCGACGGACAAAGCGCAAAGAGAUGCGAAGGGACAACGCAACAAUUUCACACGUCGUCAACAUAGUGCGGCACUGACAAUAAUAAUGAUGCUGACGACAGCAAUGCUCGUAUGAGAACACCGGACAGGCCCUAAUGCAGAUGUCGAUGUAUGUGCGAGUUCUCAUAAAGUAAGCCAUGUGCGUCAAUGCGCUCGUUUGCCGCGAAAUAAAGCAAAUAGGUCACGUUUUUGGCGACACCAUCGAUUUACCAUAAAUUGCAAGUUAAGCACAAAUCAGCAGCACGAUAAAGGAAAAGACUACAUAAGCGGCGACCGGCAAGCGACGACCACAAAGGGAAGCUUGCAAACAGGCAAACAAUAAAACAGGAUAUUGCUGGUUAUGUAGGGAUAUGCGCACGGCUGCAGACGGUAACAAUUGUGAAGUUGACAAAGUCAACGAAAGCGAAAUAAAAUACACAAAAUGACAACCAAAUUCGGAAGAAAAAUAGUUUGUUGAUGAAGAAAAAAUGCCGAUUACACAGGACGUAUGAGUGACAGACAAAAUUUAAGUAUGAUUUGUAUUGACACUCCCCAGGAAAGCACUUGGUGGUAGUGUUGCGUGCACAUCGGGACGCGCAGCAAUGACAGUUAACGCGGCGACAAACACGCGUGCUCACACACAUAGAACGCACUCGAGUUGCUUUUCUAUAUUCAUAGUCAGCGAAAAGUUUUGCUCUCUUUUCUACACUUUUGCCUGUUAAAAUGCUAGGAAUUUUUUACGUUUUAUUCUUUUUCUGUUAUUUAAUUUUUUCGAGGUUCAUCUCAAGAGCACUGGUCAAGUUUGGACGCUGACACAUGAGCUUUCGCUGUCAUGGCAACACGCCCAUUCGAGCACAUAUUGAAGCUGUCCUGUGGAUUUUUUUAUUUACGUGUGACAAAAAAAUGUAAAAGGGUUUACGGUUAUGUAAAUAAAUAAUGUAAAGUUGGACCUUUUUCCACCACUGUUA
Non-coding RNA from Bactrocera oleae (olive fruit fly), 1514 nucleotides. The record is from RefSeq and is a predicted model, not a curated record. NCBI's taxonomy places the organism in Eukaryota, Metazoa, Arthropoda, Insecta, Diptera, Tephritidae.